UUUACAAGUGCAGUUAAUGAGUUAAUGUGAAGAUACAAACUCUUAUUGAAAGGGAAUGACUAUAUUACAUGAAGAAGAAAAAAAUAAGUCAUGAAGUCUUCAGAAGCCUCAUGGGCCAAAAGCAGAGAAAGGGAGAGAAAAUACAAUAUCCACAUGCCUGCAAGAAAUACAAUGGAUACUUCAGAAAAGAAAAAGACAUCCAAGGAGUAGAACACUUGGUGAACUUCAUGAAGGGUAUCACAUUGAUGACAAGGAUAUCACAAAAUGACAAGGGAAAGAUCAAAGGCUUUAUGAAUCCACUGUGG
Molecule: long non-coding RNA, 305 nt
Filed under: Gallus gallus (chicken)
Lineage: Eukaryota; Metazoa; Chordata; Aves; Galliformes; Phasianidae
Source: RNAcentral